Molecule: ribosomal RNA, 447 nt
Filed under: uncultured bacterium
Lineage: Bacteria
Description: bacterial SSU rRNA
Rfam family: Bacterial small subunit ribosomal RNA
Source: RNAcentral
GCCAGACUCCUACGGGAGGCAGCAGUGGGGAAUAUUGCACAAUGGGGGAAACCCUGAUGCAGCGACGCCGCGUGAGUGAAGAAGUAUUUCGGUAUGUAAAGCUCUAUCAGCAGGAACGAGACAAGACGGUACCUGACUAAGAAGCCCCGGCUAACUACGUGCCAGCAGCCGCGGUAAUACGUAGGGGGCAAGCGUUAUCCGGAAUCACUGGGUGUAAAGGGAGCGUAGACGGCUGAGCAAGCCUGAAGUGAAAGGCGGGGGCCCAACCCCUGGACUGCUUUGGGAACUGUACGGCUGGAGUGCAGGAGAGGUAAGUGGAAUUCCUAGUGUAGCGGUGAAAUGCGUAGAUAUUAGGAGGAACACCAGUGGCGAAGGCGGCUUACUGGACAGUAACUGACGUUGGGGCUCGAAAGCGUGGGGAGCAAACAGGAUUAGAUACCCCGGUAC